Rhododendron vialii is the source of this 756-nucleotide long non-coding RNA. RefSeq lists it as uncharacterized. The transcript is spliced from 2 exons. Lineage: Eukaryota; Viridiplantae; Streptophyta; Magnoliopsida; Ericales; Ericaceae. The record is from RefSeq and is a predicted model, not a curated record.
GGGACAGCAGCCCCCAGCUGCCCAUCUAAACAAGGCAUUAGAUAUUAAUGUGUUAUUUUAAUUUGUGGAAAUGGAAAAAGUUUGAAUUUUAAAAAAAAAUGUAUUACUCCUAUUUUUGGGAGGGGAGGAUUGAAUGUCCUUCGCCUGCCCUCUAUGAAUCCCGCAUACGAAGCUUGGCGACCAUCACGUCUAGGACUACUAUAGGGGCUACAGCCUUUUGGCACUAUAAUACCUGAACGAAAGUUGCAUAAGACUGAAUGAGAAUGUCUGAGAACUGAUCAGUUGUGUACUUCUCGUAGAGCAGAGGAUUGAUAUAGUAGUUCUGAACAAAGUCGCUACUCCCCGAACUGAUGAAGUAGAUUGAACCAGAGAUAAUGGACGAAGCAUUGGCCUUCCCAGCAAUUCCCACCAAUUUCUUCUGGCACUCCUUGUAGUAUUCCAGCUGCUUACUCAAUGGUAUGGUAUGCUACACCACCAAAAUCCACAAAUCAUGGCAUCGACAAGAACAUGAUAUUCGUAUAUACCAAUUUGGAUAAGUUACGGUAUUAGCAACAUGCACUGUCAUUUCCAUUUGAAAUGUAGUCCUCUGGUCAUACUCCGGAGAUUAUUAAAUGGAAAGGCAAAAAAAAAAAACUGACUCUACGACGGCCGAAGUGGAACAAAGGUGAAAAGGUAGCAUCUGUUGGUGUAAUUUAGUACUGUACUUUUUUCGGGAUGAAGUUGUGAACAAUCUGAAAUGCCCUCAAAAUUUUGUCA